CGGAGUGCGGUAAUUUAGUUUUUAUUAUGCUAUAGUCGUAACAUUGUUCGGUUAGGCUAAGUUCAACAAGAGACAUCUAAGAAUGAAGCUUAAUUUGAAUUAGUCCAAACUCACGAGACAUUGGUGUUUGGUAUUUUAGCCCUCAGCAUAGAACACAGAAAUAACCUUAAAUAGAGAAAUACUUUCAAUUGCAUCAAGUAUCUUA
Molecule: long non-coding RNA, 205 nt
Filed under: Glycine max (soybean)
Lineage: Eukaryota; Viridiplantae; Streptophyta; Magnoliopsida; Fabales; Fabaceae
Description: long non-coding RNA (GMAX_LNC002618)
Source: RNAcentral